This 711-nucleotide ribosomal RNA is filed under the name uncultured Thermoplasmatales archaeon. RNAcentral describes it as "bacterial SSU rRNA". It matches the Rfam family "Archaeal small subunit ribosomal RNA", at positions 195 to 905 of the family's 1478-position model. The record is from RNAcentral. Lineage: Archaea; Methanobacteriati; Thermoplasmatota; Thermoplasmata; Thermoplasmatales.
GCAAGCGCCAGAGGGUGAGUCUGCGGCCUAUCAGGUAGUAGGUGGUGUAACGGACCACCUAGCCUAAGACGGGUACGGGCCUUGAGAGAGGGAGCCCGGAGAUGGGUUCUGAGACACGAACCCAGGCCCUACGGGGCGCAGCAGGCGCGAAACCUUCGCACUGCGCGAAAGCGCGACGAGGGGAGCCCGAGUGCCUCUCCAUUUCGGGGAGGCUUUUCACAAGCCUAAAAAGCUUGUGGAAUAAGGGCUGGGCAAGACGGGUGCCAGCCGCCGCGGUAAUACCCGCAGCUCGAGUGGUGGUCGCUUUUAUUGAGCCUAAAACGUUCGUAGUCGGCCUUGUAAAUCCCUGGGUAAAUCGGACCGCUUAACGGUUCGAAUUCCGGGGGGACUGCAAGGCUAGGGACCGGGCGAGGUCAGAGGUACUUUCGGGGUAGGAGUGAAAUCCUGUAAUCCCGAAGGGACCACCUGUGGCGAAAGCGUCUGACUUGAACGGCUCCGACGAUGAGGAACGAAGGCUAGGGGAGCAAACCGGAUUAGAUACCCGGGUAGUCCUAGCUGUAAACUCUGCCCGCUUGGUGUGGCCUGUCCUUCGGGGGCAGGCUGUGCCGGAGCGAAGGUGUUAAGCGGGCUGCUUGGGGAGUACGGCCGCAAGGUUGAAACUUAAAGGAAUUGGCGGGGGAGCACCGCAACGGGAGGAUGCGUGCGGUUUAA